This 499-nucleotide ribosomal RNA is filed under the name Anoplolepis gracilipes. RNAcentral's name for it is "LSU rRNA". The record is from RNAcentral. Lineage: Eukaryota; Metazoa; Arthropoda; Insecta; Hymenoptera; Formicidae.
CCUAAGAAACCCAAAAGAUCGAACGGGGAGAUUCAUCGUCAGCGGCGCUGGCUUCGCGUCGGUGGGCGAUGUCCCGCGGAGUCCUCGCGGCUCCCGCGCGGGCACGCUACCGUGCGUCGAUGUCCGGCGCUCGUCGUCGUGCACUUCUCCCCAAGUAGAACGUCGCGACCCGCUGGGUGUCGGUCUACGGCCCGGGUGUGUCGACUGUCGCGUCGCCGGUAAAACGGCACGCGACAAACCCCCGGUCGCCCGGCCGGCUGCUCGGCGGUACGCGCAUGGUAUCAGGCCGCACUUCGGUGCGUCGAGGCCGUCGCAAGCGCGCGCCACGGUACCCGGAGGUUUGCGGACUUUGCGCCGUCCCCGGUCCUGGCCCGCUGUUGGUUAAAGUACGGAUUCACCUUCGACAGGCCCGAGAACGUCUCGCCGCGCGCGCUCCCCGCAAGGGGUGUNNCCGCGCGGCAGACCGAUACCGGUCGGCGACGCUACUGCUUUGGGUACU